GACGAACGCUGGCGGCGUGCCUAAUACAUGCAAGUUGAGCGCUGAAGGUUGGUACUUGUACCAACUGGAUGAGCAGCGAACGGGUGAGUAACGCGUGGGGAAUCUGCCUUUGAGCGGGGGACAACAUUUGGAAACGAAUGCUAAUACCGCAUAAAAACUUUAAACACAAGUUUUAAGUUUGAAAGAUGCAAUUACAUCACUCAAAGAUGAUCCCGCGUUGUAUUAGCUAGUUGGUGAGGUAAAGGCUCACCAAGGCGAUGAUACAUAGCCGACCUGAGAGGGGGGUCGGCAACAUUGGGACUGAGACACGGCCCAAACUCCUACGGGAGGCAGCAGUAGGGAAUCUUCGGCAAUGGACGAAAGUCUGACCGAGCAACGCCGCGUGAGUGAAGAAGGGUUUCGGAUCGUAAAACUCUGUUGGUAGAGAAGAACGUUGGUGAGAGUGGAAAGCUCAUCAAGUGACGGUAACUACCCAGAAAGGGACGGCUAACUACGUG
Molecule: ribosomal RNA, 497 nt
Filed under: uncultured bacterium
Lineage: Bacteria
Description: partial 16S ribosomal RNA
Rfam family: Bacterial small subunit ribosomal RNA
Source: RNAcentral